GCUGGCGGCGUGCUUAACACAUGCAAGUCGAACGAUGAAACCUAGCUUGCUAGGUGGAUUAGUGGCGCACGGGUGAGUAAUAUAUAGGUAAUGUGCCUCUUAGUCUGGGAUAGCCAUUGGAAACGAUGAUUAAUACUGGAUACUCCUUCUAACUCUAAUGUUAGUCGGGAAAGUUUUUCGCUAAGAGAUCAGCCUAUAUCCCAUCAGUUAGUUGGUAAGGUAACGGCUUACCAAGGCAAUGACGGGUAGCGGGUUUGAGAGGAUGAUCCGCCACACUGGUACUGAGACACGGACCAGACUCCUACGGGAGGCAGCAGUGAGGAAUAUUGCACAAUGGGGGAAACCCUGAUGCAGCAACGCCGCGUGGAGGAUGACGCAUUUCGGUGUGUAAACUCCUUUUAUAUGUCAAGAAAAUGACGGUAGCAUAUGAAUAAGCACCGGCUAACUCCGUGCCAGCAGCCGCGGUAAUACGGAGGGUGCAAGCGUUACUCGGAAUCACUGGGCGUAAAGGACGCGUAGGCGGAUUGGAAAGUCAGAUGUGAAAUCCUACAGCUUAACUGUAGAACUGCAUUUGAAACUUCUAAUCUAGAGUAUGGGAGGGGGAGAUGGAAUUAGUGGUGUAGGGGUAAAAUCCGUAGAUAUCACUAGGAAUACCGAAAGCGAAGGCGAUCUCCUGGAACAUUACUGACGCUAAGGCGUGAAAGCGUGGGGAGCAAACAGGAUUAGAUACCCUGGUAGUCCACGCCCUAAACGAUGAACACUAGUCGUCGGGAUGCUUGUCAUCUCGGUGAUGCACUUAACAGAUUAAGUGUUCCGCCUGGGGAGUAC
RNAcentral lists this ribosomal RNA (828 nucleotides) under uncultured bacterium. RNAcentral's name for it is "bacterial SSU rRNA". It matches the Rfam family "Bacterial small subunit ribosomal RNA", at positions 35 to 883 of the family's 1533-position model. The record is from RNAcentral.